This 253-nucleotide ribosomal RNA is filed under the name uncultured bacterium. RNAcentral describes it as "partial 16S ribosomal RNA". It matches the Rfam family "Bacterial small subunit ribosomal RNA", at positions 524 to 776 of the family's 1533-position model. The record is from RNAcentral.
UACGGAGGGUGCGAGCGUUGUCCGGAAUCACUGGGCGUAAAGGGCGCGUAGGCGGCCUGAUAAGUAGGGGGUGAAAUCCUGCGGCUUAACCGCAGGGCUGCCUUCUAAACUGUCAGGCUAGAGCACAGUAGAGGCAGGUGGAGUUCCCGGUGUAGCGGUGGAAUGCGUAGAGAUCGGGAAGAACAUCAGUGGCGAAGGCGGCCUGCUGGGCUGUUGCUGACGCUGAGGCGCGACAGCGUGGGGAGCAAACAGG